GACGAACGCUGGCGGCGUGCCUAAUGCAUGCAAGUCGCACGCGCCACCUUCGGGUGGUGAGUGGCGCACGGCUGAGGAACACGUGGGAACCUGCCGCCUUGUGGGGGACAACAGCGCGAAAGCGCUGCUAACUCCCGCACUCCGCUCUUGACUAAAGAAGGAAAGCGUGACAAACGCGCGAGGGCGGACGGGGCCCGGCCGG
This 202-nucleotide ribosomal RNA is filed under the name uncultured bacterium. RNAcentral's name for it is "partial 16S ribosomal RNA". It matches the Rfam family "Bacterial small subunit ribosomal RNA", at positions 28 to 236 of the family's 1533-position model. The record is from RNAcentral.